UUCCGUCUUCCUUGCCACUGGUGACUGGCCGAUUGGCCGACAGCUUAGCCGUUCUUCCUUGACUUGGCGUCGACGUGCUGUUCAUCUUCUCGCGGGCUGAGUGGGAGGCCUGGGGGUGAGGGCCUUCCGAGAAAUGAAAAAAAAAAAUGGACCUUCUGUCUUCCUUGCCAUCGAUGAUCGAUCGAUUGCGUGCUCAGCUGUUCUUCCAUGUCCUAGGGUCGUUCAUCUUCUCGCAGGCCGAGCGGAGCCGUUUGGAGGCUGGGGGCGAGGGCCUUCUGGCCUUUCGGGGAGGAGGCAUCCUGCCAUUCGUCUUCUCCCGGGCCGAACAGAGGUCCUGAGGGUGAAGGGUGGCCUUCCGGCAUUUCAGGGCGGAGAUGGGGGGUGGGGGGCUAGCGGAGAGCCUGAGGGCGAGGGUCUAAAGCGAGGGCUUCGGUGACUUUACCUUUUAGCUAGUCCUGAGGAAAUUAAAGAUGUCAAAAAUCUGUAUUUGAUUUGGGCACACUUAGAGUUGCGACUGAUAACUUCUCUGACAUGAAUAAGCUCGGAGAAGGUGGGUUUGGAACAGUUUACAAGGGGGUAUUAUCAGAUGGCUGGCAAAUAGCUGUGAAAAGACUUUCCAGAACGUCACGGCAAGGAUUUCUAGAGCUAAGAAAUGAGGUUAUGUUUGUUGCGAAGCUUGGACACAGAAAUCUUGUAAAGCUACCGGGUUGUUGUUUAGAAGAGAGAAAAGUUACUCGUCUAUGAGUUUCUCCCAAAUACAAGCCUGACAAAUUUUUGUUUGAUCCUACUAAACGUGGACUCUUGGACUGGGGAAAGCGCUAUAUAAUUAUCGAAGGAAUUGCAAGGGGCUUAUUUAUCUUCACCAAGAUUCUUGGUUAAAGAUUAUCCAUCGGGAUCUAAAAGCAAGUAAUGUAUUGUUAGAUCAGUACGUGAAUAUCAAGAUUUCAGAUUUUGGUCUUGCAAAACUCGCUGAAUCAGAAAAAAUGCACGGAUGUGCCAGUAACAUUGCUGGCACAAAGUAUGUUAAAAAACUUUCAAUCUAGAGCAACUUGUACUACUAAGCUGCUUCAACAAAUGACCAUUGCUUGGUGGUGUGCGGUGGAUACAUGGCUCCGGAAUAUGCAAUCCAGGGGCAUUUUUCAACUAAAUCAGAUGUAUUUAGUUUCGGAGUUUUAAUUCUAGAGAUUGUGACCGGUCAAAGAAUCGCUGAUUUUCAUAGAUCGGGUUGUGCUACCAACCUCCUAAGCUAUGUAAGGACUCGCAAACUUCUUCCUUCUUUACUAAUAUAUGUAGCAAAAUAUGGAAGUACAAAGGGGAAGGGAGUUGUUCUUUAUUCUUCAUUGUGAUUCAUGUUGUUGAUUGUUUGUUAAGUAGGUCUGGGAGCACUGGAGCAAAGAUAUAGCUUUGCAAAUGAUAGAUCAUAGCUUAGGUGAAUUGUACCAUAGACAAGAAGCGUUGACAUGCAUCCACAUAGGAUUACUGUGUGUUCAGGAAGUCUCGAGGAAGAGACCUUGCAUGGAAUCUGUUGCUCUAAUGCUGAGUAAUUACUCCAUUACACUUCCAACUCCUUCAAUGCCUGCAUAUUUUGUUCCAAGCAGAGCAGCCAAUGAUUCAAAUGUGACUUCCAAGAAUUGCCGAAUCCAAUCCUAGCUUGUCAUCUAUACAUAACGUGUCAAUUACUGAAAUAGAGCCCCGGUAACAAAUUGUGUGAGAUAUCUGAUGAUUGUCACUGAUGAGAACAAGCACAAUAGUCUGGGCGGGCUGCUCUUCCAGCAUCAAUAAUUCAGAUGUUUCUCUUGGUGUUAUCCGGAUGGCGCUACUAUUGCGUGCUUCUUGCAAGCAAUGGCCAGGUUAUUUUGUUAUUUGAAACUUAAAUUUUUACAUUUCAAAGUAUAAGCUAUUUUAGAGUGUUUGGAAUUUUGAAUUAGAGAUCUUUAUUAGAUGAUUGUAUGAGUAUUUGGAGUUUUUUCAACUUUUUUCUCUACUAUCUUGUUGUACUUUUUUUCUAUCUUUAAUAAAAUUCAGGUAAGGUUGC
Molecule: non-coding RNA, 2035 nt
Organism: Elaeis guineensis (African oil palm)
Lineage: Eukaryota; Viridiplantae; Streptophyta; Magnoliopsida; Arecales; Arecaceae
Source: RefSeq, a predicted model, not a curated record